ACAAGUCAUCGAGGUUGUUUGCUGCCAUUAAUUAAUACAAAUGACUGGGGAUGUGAUAUCUAAAAUAUGUUUUGGAUAUCUUGAGUGUUUACUUGCUCGGAUGAUUGUUCAUCAUCGUUUUCUUCACUAAUGUUUGGUUGGUGCAAAAAUGCUUCGAGAAGAAAAUGAACUUUAGUGAGAGAUUAAUUGGAGUAAAAUUAAUUUAUUGCUGGUUCCGGAUGCUGGAAGCGCAGAAAUACUUCCGCCGAGAAAUUGAAAGAAUUGUCUGCUGCUCUGGAUAUUUCUCGGUGUGGUGAGUGACUUUCCGCAUGAUAUAUUUUUUUUACUAAAUCAUAAAUUUUUUUUAUUUAUCUUUUGACUCGAGUCGUGGGC
Molecule: long non-coding RNA, 372 nt
Organism: Microplitis mediator
Lineage: Eukaryota; Metazoa; Arthropoda; Insecta; Hymenoptera; Braconidae
Exons: 3
Source: RefSeq, a predicted model, not a curated record